RNAcentral lists this ribosomal RNA (165 nucleotides) under Salmonella enterica subsp. enterica serovar Legon. Its description in RNAcentral is "partial 16S ribosomal RNA". It matches the Rfam family "Bacterial small subunit ribosomal RNA", at positions 1379 to 1533 of the family's 1533-position model. Lineage: Bacteria; Pseudomonadati; Pseudomonadota; Gammaproteobacteria; Enterobacterales; Enterobacteriaceae. The record is from RNAcentral.
CCUUGUACACACCGCCCGUCACACCAUGGGAGUGGGUUGCAAAAGAAGUAGGUAGCUUAACCUUCGGGAGGGCGCUUACCACUUUGUGAUUCAUGACUGGGGUGAAGUCGUAACAAGGUAACCGUAGGGGAACCUGCGGUUGGAUCACCUCCUUACCUGAAAGAA